RNAcentral lists this transfer RNA (60 nucleotides) under Ornithodoros waterbergensis. Its description in RNAcentral is "Ornithodoros sp. 4 BJM-2014 tRNA-Cys". The record is from RNAcentral. Lineage: Eukaryota; Metazoa; Arthropoda; Arachnida; Ixodida; Argasidae.
AAUCUUAUAGUUUAAAAAACGUUAAAUUGCAAGUUUAAAAAUGGUUUAGGCCUAAGAUUU